CUUUGUUGUGUUAGCGGCUUUUUCGUCUCUCUUUUUUCCCUCGAUCCAAGUUCACUGAAAUUUUGAACCAUUAAACACUGAAGGAGUAUAGCAGCAGUAAGAGAUUGAGUUCUUCUGUUUCCUUUGCUUCCAAUUUUAUCUGUGGUAGAUGAUGAUGAUGAUGGAUGGUGUGGUGUUCAAAAUCCCAUCGUUUAAGUUCCUAAACCCCAGCCCAGCCGCCUCUCGGAGCCCUGCAAUUAUACGGUGUGGCUUGCCUAGAUUCUCUUGUUCUUCUAUCCCCGCAUUAGCUACCACUGGCCGAGAGGGUGACCAGGCCCUUGGUUCCCUCUCCCUAGGUCACAUCACUCGACCUGAUUUCCCUAUCCUUCACCAGGAGAUAAAUGGCUCAAAACUUGUGUACUUAGAUAAUGCUGCAACGUCCCAGAAGCCUAUUUCAGUGUUGAAGGCUUUACAGAACUAUUAUGAAACUUACAAUUCAAAUGUUCACCGAGGAAUUCACUAUUUAAGUGCGAAGGCAACUGAUGAGUAUGAGUUGGCCAGAAAGAAGGUGGCAGCUUUUAUAAAUGCUUCUGAGUCCAGAGAGAUUGUUUUUACCAGGAAUGCUACUGAAGCUAUCAAUUUGGUAGCCUACUCCUGGGGCCUUGCAAAUUUAAAAUCAGGAGAUGAGGUUAUACUUACAGUUGCUGAACAUCACAGUGCAAUUGUUCCAUGGCAAAUUGUAGCUCAGAGGACUGGUGCUGUUCUGAAAUUUGUAACUCUGAAUGAAAACGAAGUUCCAGAUAUACAGAAAUUAAAAGAAAUAUUCUCAAAGAAGACAAAACUUGUAGUUGUUCAUCACAUCUCAAACGUCCUUGCUUCUUUCCUUCCUGUUGAAGACAUAAUCCAAUGGGCACAUGUUGUUGGGGCUAAAGUGCUUAUAGAUGCUUGUCAAAGUGUUCCACACAUGGUGGUUGAUGUCCAGCGCCUUGACACUGAUUUUCUUGUUGCUUCUUCUCACAAGAUGUGUGGGCCCACAGGCAUUGGAUUCUUAUAUGGUAAAAGUGAUCUCUUGUCCACAAUGCCUCCAUUUUUAGGUGGUGGAGAAAUGAUCUCUGAUGUAUUUUUAGAUCAUUCUACUUAUGCAGAUCCUCCAUCAAGAUUUGAGGCAGGAACUCCUGCAAUUGGAGAAGCAAUUGGGCUAGGAGCAGCAAUUGAUUAUUUGUCAGGAAUUGGCAUGCAAAAGAUUCAUGACUAUGAG
This 1237-nucleotide unclassified non-coding RNA is filed under the name Hevea brasiliensis (rubber tree). The record is from RNAcentral. Lineage: Eukaryota; Viridiplantae; Streptophyta; Magnoliopsida; Malpighiales; Euphorbiaceae.